This 17-nucleotide small RNA is filed under the name Arabidopsis thaliana (thale cress). RNAcentral's name for it is "ATSL233340". Lineage: Eukaryota; Viridiplantae; Streptophyta; Magnoliopsida; Brassicales; Brassicaceae. The record is from RNAcentral.
AUGGACGAAGAAGGAAA